This 327-nucleotide ribosomal RNA is filed under the name uncultured bacterium. RNAcentral describes it as "bacterial SSU rRNA". It matches the Rfam family "Bacterial small subunit ribosomal RNA", at positions 791 to 1113 of the family's 1533-position model. The record is from RNAcentral.
GAGUCCACGCCGUAAACGAUGAGUGCUAAUUGUUAGGGGGUUUCCGCCCCUUAGUGCUGCAGCUAACGCAUUAAUCACUCCGCCUGGGGAGUACGACCGCAAGGUUGAAACUCAAAGGAAUUGACGGGGGCCCGCACAAGCGGUGGAGCAUGUGGUUUAAUUCAAAGCAACGCGAACAACCUUACCAGGUCUUGACAUCCCAAUGACCGUCUUAUAGAUAAGAUUUUCCCUUCGGGGACAUUGGGUGACAGGUGGUGCAUGGUUGUCGUCAGCUCGUGUCGUGAGAUGUUGGGUUAAGUCCCGCAACGAGCGCAAUCCUUAUUCUUA